This 205-nucleotide long non-coding RNA is filed under the name Elaeis guineensis (African oil palm). RNAcentral's name for it is "long non-coding RNA (EGUI_LNC037038)". Lineage: Eukaryota; Viridiplantae; Streptophyta; Magnoliopsida; Arecales; Arecaceae. The record is from RNAcentral.
AGCUAUAAGAUCUCUGAAAAAUCCGAUCAAUGGAGUGCCGAUCUAUUUUAACCGAUCUAACAUAUUCAUGUUUUGAAAUACGACAUAGAAUAAUAUAUCAGCAGAACUUUCAUUAUCAACUCAUAUCCUUUUUAUAUCAUAUUUUACUAUUAUCAUAAAGAUGACAAUAGCAUUAUUAUGAAGAGUCUGGACUCCUUGAACAUCA